UGGGGAAUAUUGCACAAUGGGCGAAAGCCUGAUGCAGCGACGCCGCGUGAGGGAUGACGGCCUUCGGGUUGUAAACCUCUUUCAGUAGGGAACAAGGCCAGGCAUUGUCUGGUUGAGGGUACUUGCAGAAGAAGCGCCGGCUAACUACGUGCCAGCAGCCGCGGUAAUACGUAGGGCGCAAGCGUUAUCCGGAAUUAUUGGGCGUAAAGAGCUCGUAGGCGGUUUGUCGCGUCUGCCGUGAAAGUCCGGGGCUCAACUCCGGAUCUGCGGUGGGUACGGGCAGACUAGAGUGAUGUAGGGGAGACUGGAAUUCCUGGUGUAGCGGUGAAAUGCGCAGAUAUCAGGAGGAACACCGAUGGCGAAGGCAGGUCUCUGGGCAUUAACUGACGCUGAGGAGCGAAAGCAUGGGGAGCGAACAGG
Molecule: ribosomal RNA, 420 nt
Filed under: uncultured bacterium
Lineage: Bacteria
Description: bacterial SSU rRNA
Rfam family: Bacterial small subunit ribosomal RNA
Source: RNAcentral